RNAcentral lists this long non-coding RNA (212 nucleotides) under Helianthus annuus (common sunflower). RNAcentral's name for it is "sRNA HanXRQr2_Chr04g0175761". The record is from RNAcentral. Lineage: Eukaryota; Viridiplantae; Streptophyta; Magnoliopsida; Asterales; Asteraceae.
CCCACAUCCUCAGCUAACCAGCUAACCCAGACACCGAUUUAAGUCGAACCCCUGUUGAUUCAACGUGCCUUUUUUUCUGAGCACCAAGUGCUUGAUGAAAUUCCCCAAUGAGAGUAAAGUUUCAAAAAUUGACACCUUCAUUCCCAAGAUUUUUAUCUAUUGGUGGCUUGAAGAAACUGAUUAUAUUCAUCAGUUCAUAUCGUCUGCAGUGA